Molecule: long non-coding RNA, 640 nt
Filed under: Oryza brachyantha (malo sina)
Lineage: Eukaryota; Viridiplantae; Streptophyta; Magnoliopsida; Poales; Poaceae
Description: long non-coding RNA (OBRA_LNC002670)
Source: RNAcentral
AUUGUUCACUUGGACCGAUCUGCAAGCAAAGUGUAACAACGAGCUGCUAAACAAUUUAGGGAACUUCAUCAAUCGAGUGCUGAGCUUUAUCGCAAAACCAGAGGGUUAGUAAAGCGAGAAUAAUACCUCUGUUUAGUUCUAUGUUUCCUUCAUAUUCCUAUGGCAUGCAUUCACUCGUCCAUUUUGUUCUGCUUCGCUCCUGCUGUCAUGCAUGAUCUGUCAAAAUGUUAAGACAGCUCACUACUGUUGCAGGUAUUGGAUAUGGUUCUGUUGUACCGGACUCACCUGCUGCGGAUUCGCAUACUCUGACUCAGUCAUUAGCAAAGACUAUUGGUAAAUUGAUUGAGCAGUACAUCGAUGCAAUGGACAAAGUAAUGCAAUGAUUUUGAAUUGUAUUAACUACACUAAGUAAAUCUGAAUUUGAAUGGCCUCUAUAGAUCUGAAUAAUUGUGGUAAUAACCAUUUCCAUUAAUAGGUCAAAAUAAAACAAGGGUUGAAGAUUGCAAUGGCCAUUUCUAGCGAGGGAAAUGCAUACCUCCAAGUAAGACUUCAUUCUUCUUUUCUUCACCUAUGUUCCCAUUGUGCUAUGUACACUUCGCACUACCUCGAAAUUGUCUAAAAGUUUCCAUUGAUAUGCAGG